RNAcentral lists this ribosomal RNA (324 nucleotides) under uncultured eukaryote. RNAcentral's name for it is "partial 18S ribosomal RNA". It matches the Rfam family "Eukaryotic small subunit ribosomal RNA", at positions 1470 to 1796 of the family's 1831-position model. The record is from RNAcentral.
CCCUUAGAUGUUCUGGGCCGCACGCGCGCUACACUGAAGCUAUCAACACGUUUUCCCUCCCUGAGAAGGGCGGGUAACCUUUUGAAUCAGCUUCGUGGUAGGGAUCGGGGCUUGCAAUUGUUCCCCGUGAACCAGGAAUUCCUAGUAGACGCGAGUCAUAAGCUCGCAUCGAUUAAGUCCCUGCCCUUUGUACACACCGCCCGUCGCUACUACCGAUUGAACGUUUUAGUGAGGCAUUUGGACCGACGCAUCUCAGUUUAACCGCUGGUUUGUGUUGGAAAGACUUCCAAACUUGAGCGUUUAGAGGAAGUGAAAGUCGUAACA